This 1604-nucleotide long non-coding RNA is filed under the name Schizosaccharomyces pombe (fission yeast). The record is from RNAcentral. Lineage: Eukaryota; Fungi; Ascomycota; Schizosaccharomycetes; Schizosaccharomycetales; Schizosaccharomycetaceae.
ACUGAAUCCAAGCAUCGUAAAUGGAUGUUUCAAUAAUGCUAUCCGAGACCCAUUUACUAAUUAAAGUAGCUAGCAUAAGAGGGAGAGCAAUGUUUAAAGCUCCUGUUAGUUCAAAAAGAAUUACUACCAAUGCUACUACUAAUCGGGUAGUUGAACUCAAAAAUGCAAUUGAACCAAUCACCCCAUAGAUACUGGUACCUGCAAGCGAUGGGAACCGGCUCUUCAAAAGAGUCCCAACAGCUCUUCCAAUACAUGCACCAAUUGCCAACGACGGGACAAUAAUACCAGUAGGGAUAGCUGCCCCAAAUGUAGCUGAAGUCAAAAGAAGUCCCAAUAAUGCUGAUGUAAAAAGAACUAUUGCAGUUACCCAAAAGGUAGUCUCGCAUAACACAGUUGACGAAGAAGGAGAACAGGAGUUGAUAACUUGGGGGAACAGCUCCAUUGGAUUAAACAACAGCUCGCUUUCACCUAGAAUGGCAUAAGCCGUCAAGGAUGUUAUCAAAGAUAAAAAAAUAACAAAAAAAACGUUAGAAAUCUUUGAAAAGCCUUUGGUCUUUGAAGCAAACUUCAUGUUAAGGUAAAUUAAAACAGAUCCUAAGCAUCCACAUAAAAUGCUAAUGAAUAUAAAGGGAAGUGUAUCUUUAUAACUCCAACGUCUAUCCAAAGAAACAUAAGAAAGAUAUCCAACAUCUGUGUGCCAAGACCUAAUCAACUGUAGAGCUACCACAGAAGACGCAGAGCACAAAAACUCGUACCAAAUGGAGCCAGUAAAUAAGCUUGGAAAAGAACUAGAAGCUAGUUGUUCUAAAGCAAAAAUAACACCACCAACAGGAGCAUUAAAAGAAGCAGCAAUACCGGAGGCCAUAGCAGCAGCAAGCAAUUGUCUAGUAAAAAUUUCAGAAUCAGCAAGACUUGGAGCUAUUCUUUCAACUAAAUAUAUUAUAUUUGUCGCUAUAUGAACAAAUGGCCCUUCUUUUCCAACCCAUAAACCAGAUGCAACACUGAAACAAACAGCUAAAGAUUUGGAACAAAGGGUUUUUAUAGAAAAAAAAACGUUCAUAUCAGGGUAUUUAUAGCCACUCAAAAUUGCUUUAAUUGUCGGAAUGCCACUAGCUCUAGCAGCAGGAGCUACUACAUAACCUAAAGUAGUUGCUAUGAAUGCAAACCCGACUGAAACACUAACGUAUAUCAAACAAGAAACAAAAACGGAAUGAUUGUUUCUCCAAAAAAAAAAUUCCUGACAUUCAUAGUCCUCCGUUAGGGUUGAACAACAAGUCUGUUUGUCAAAAAGUAUAUUCACAGUACAAUACCCUUCACGAAAACUGUUAAGUAAUGAUGCGAGAGCAUUUAAUAAAGCAGCUGUUAAGCCGAUAAAUAUACCUUCCAAAAAUGUCAGAAAUCAGAUAAAGAGAAUACAGUAAAUCAACAGUCAAAUAAAAUAUCACGUACACUACCAACAUGCAGAUGCAUUUAAAUGGUUGGAUUACGUACCUGAAAUAAUGGAAAUAAUUGAAUAUUUGGUUUCUAAACCUAGAAACCUGAAACGGCCUGCAAGACGAUUAGCACUUUUCUGCUCUUCAUAUCUCUCGUGAAUCCAAUCAAUG